Long non-coding RNA from Cygnus olor (mute swan), 1793 nucleotides. RefSeq lists it as uncharacterized. The transcript is spliced from 3 exons. The record is from RefSeq and is a predicted model, not a curated record. Lineage: Eukaryota; Metazoa; Chordata; Aves; Anseriformes; Anatidae.
GCAGUUGCAUCUAGAAGAAAAAGAUCUUUUACAAGCAUUGUCCUUCACACUUCAUGAAUGAAUUGCAGAACCAUUGCCCAAUGGAUUUUAUGCUCCUACUUUCUGAUUAUUGUUUGACAGAAACAUCUGGUUACUAGCUCUAAUAUUUCCUCAAGCACAGAAGCUCCCAGACUGCACAGAAUGGGGGUUCAAUCUGUCCUCAUCUCUGAAAUGAAUGCCUGUAAAUGUCUACAAAGGAGGACUGGGAAUGGAUCACUUGAGAUUUGCUAUUAGAUCUUGCUGCUAAACAUAACUGAGAAAUGAGUAUGCUGUCAGAAAAUGCAAUUUGUAUUUUAUGCCCUAAGUAGCAAUUUUUAAAAUAUAUAUAUAUAUAUUAUUUUAUUUUUUUUUGCCAAGGUUGUGUCUUGUAUUCUUUCUACAAAUUGUACUUCUCUUUACCUGAGUAGUAGGUUGGAAUGUCCAAGAAAAUUAUAGUACUGUAAAUCAUUAAGACAAUAUGGGAAAACAUUACUAAAGCAAUUAUGACUACAAUCUUUAACUGGUUAUACAGGGAUUAACGAUGCAACAACUUGCAAUAUUCUUUUUAUUACUAGCAGGACUUCUUAGUUUCCAAAGGAAAAGACUUUUUUUUCAAUGAAAGAAGAAUAUUUAUAUUUGUUAAGUUAGAUUUAUAUUCAGAUUAUUUAAAGAAAAAUGCAUCAGUGAAAAAAUUAUAUGAAUCUGCUGUCAUUAAUGGUUUCUGUAUAUUAAUAUUAUAAUUUGUUUCUGCACUUGGUCAAAAUACACUGAAAAGAUGUUAUUCAUACUUACUUUUGACUUAAUCUUUUACUGGUUAAAUGUCUUUGAGGUUUUACCUUCAAUGAUUCACAUGUAAAAUACUUAGUGACUAAAUUCUGCAUGGUGUUUUUCUAGUCAUUGUCAUACAGUUUGUUUACUUUAUCAGUUUCAAUUUGCUAAAAAUCUAAUUAGAGAUGAUGUGAUAGUAUUAUAUUGCUGAGAUGCUAAUGUUAAUUAGGUAGGUAGGUUAGGAAGGAUUUUUUUUUUUUUUUCUUCCCUCCUAUAUCCUGAACAGUUCUUAUCCCUGACAGGGAAUAUUAUAAGAUAACACCUUUUAAUUUUGAAAAAAAAAAAAAAAAGAAAGGAUCCUGUUAUACCUGUUGAGCAAUCAGAAGAUAAUUUAGUCCUUUAGAACAUGCUUUGACAAAGUCCUUGAUAGAAGAAAUAUGCCUUGUGAAAUGGCACAUAGCAAAGCUAGAAGAACUUGUGUCCCAAUAUGUCUUUCUUAUCUGCAGUUUAAGACUGAACCAAAUCCAGAAAUACUACUCAUUGUUAACUGUUUCUUUACAAUUUUAGCAAGAAGCUGUGAGAAGAUAUCGAAAAGGAAUCCAAGUAGGAGAAGAGAGAAAUAACUUCUCUACUACAACAUGCCCAUGUUUGUGCAGUGCUUAUCAAAUGAAUCAUCUGAACCAUCACUGAUAUCAUCUACCUGGACCUCUAAUAAAGCAAUCCAUGUUGGCUGUUCCACUGCUGGAUAACCCCCUGUCAUUGACCCUUCUGCUCACCAGUCUCCACCUGCAGAUCUGUAAACUAACUGUGUCUAUACUGAAUGGCUGAUUCAAGCCCUCACAGCAGGGGUGGAAUGUGAUUACGAACUCUUAAAAGUAAAUCAUCAUGCACUUGUGUACUAUAUGGACACAGUUGUUGAAUAUUUAUGGAGCAUAACUUGAACCUGUUGUUGAGAAACUCCAAUAUAUAAAUGUCUAGAAGAUAGUAAAAGAAAAAUGGCCAUCUCA